RNAcentral lists this unclassified non-coding RNA (218 nucleotides) under Hevea brasiliensis (rubber tree). Lineage: Eukaryota; Viridiplantae; Streptophyta; Magnoliopsida; Malpighiales; Euphorbiaceae. The record is from RNAcentral.
AGGCCCUGGAAAACUAUCAUUUACAGUCAGCAUGCUCUUUGUGCUACACAGCCUUGUAAAAUUAGUUUCCUUGAGAACGAAGUCAUAGUAAUGGAUGGCACCCUCUGCCAAGCCAUAAUGCAGACUAGCCAGGCAAAUAUAAGAUACCAAUACAAACCAAGGGAUUGCUUUCAUUUUGUGAGUUGAUAUCUUCAAUAAAUAAUGAAGCUCUCUCCUCU